UUGUCUUGAAGGGCUCAUCCCACAGAUCUCAUCCCACCCAGCUCAUCCCACUCUCUCACACCACAGAUCAGCUGCCCACGGGUGCAGUGGGUAGGAAGUGGCGCUGGCAGGGAGAGCGGCAAACAGGAAACGGGCUCAGCAGAGCAUCACUCCAGAGCCACCAGGAAUGGAGCCCAGGCUAAGAACAGCAGCAGAGCAGUCUGCAGUGUGGGUCAGCCACUGCUCGGCUGGGAAAGAGUGCUCCCACCACCGGCAGAGCCCCUUGGCCAUGGCCCCCACAGUCGCCAUGAGCUCCCGGGGGAGCUGCCAGGCAGCCAUGGAGUGGGACCUGCCAUCCAGGAAAAGGAGCCCAGGAGGGGCUCUGAGUUGGGAAAACUAAGCAAACACUGCAAGGAACAAAAGCAACUGAGAGCCAAAGGCUGUGAUCCCUGCCAACGUGGGAUGGGGCCAGGACACAGACUCAGCCAACCCCAGGAGUCAAGAGGGUCCCAGAUGCCUCCCGUGCCCGUGCUCCUAUGGGCAACUCCAAACCCUUGGGUGACCAGGGACCCCCAGGCACCACCAGCUGUGCUCCCAGAGCCCCUCAGCAGCCAGAUCUGUCAUUUCUGAGCAGCAGCUUGGCCACGGGGCCAAGGCUAUGGCGAGGCCUCGCUCUGCUGCCUGUGAUCUGCAGAGCCGCCAUCCCCACACCCGCUGACGGGAAGCGGAGGCCCACACACAACUCCUGCUUCCUCGUCAAGCCCUGCCGCGUCCCCAGCUCCGGCCUUGGCUGCCACCAUGCCAGGGAAUGGCGGCAAUGGCUGGGAGAUGGGUGGGAUGGGGGACCACGGUUCCCCCCUCAGACACGUACUCACCGUGAGGCGGCUGCACGGCUGCUACGCGUGGGGCCGGCGAGUGGGAGAGCCUCGCUCGGCCACCGGCCAGGAGCUGCGACCCGAGGAGCCUCCGUGGAGUGUGGGUACCGCUGCCCUGUCCACGUGACGACAGCUUUGAGAAGGGGUGGCUGCCUCAAGCCCCACACCCAAAGCGAAGGCUGUGCUCUGCUCCGGCCAGGCGGCUGCUGGUAACCAGGCUGAAGAGAGGAGAAAAACUAAUGAAAACAGAACUCGGGAAGAAGCGCCAGGCCUGGAGUGGCUUCCGCCCCGAUCCCCAGCAAUUAUCAGCCACAUGCCAGAUGUUCCGAUGCGAUGCCAAUGUCAGAGAAAAUAAAUCUGUGUCGGGUUCAAGGUCCCUGCCGGGCCGGCACGCAGCGGCUCGCGGCUCAGUGCCGCACAAGGCGGGACAGAGCUGCGGGCCGGCCGCGGCCGCUUCCUCCUGCCAGGCAUUGUUCCCCUGGGAAGCCCCGGCCUCACACCGGCCACUUGCUAUUUUUGCAGCAAGGUGCUUUCAGGGGUAAAUACGUCCCUGCCGGCCUUGGGCACUUUCCUCUGCGCGGGCCCUGGCCAAGGCUGUGGCCUGGCUCCUGCGGUGGGCGCGCGGCCGCGGUCAGGGCCAGUCAUGGGCCGCGGUGCAGGCCGGCGGGGCCUGGUGGUGGCGUGAGGGUGGAUUUCGGAGGGUGGAUUUGGGAAGGCCACGCUGGAGUGACUGCACAGCCACCAGGUCAAGCCAGCUCCUGGCAGCCUUAGGGGUUCCCGGGGACAGCAAGAGGUACAGACAGGUGACAUUUUGAAAGCCACAGCACCUAGGAGGGAAAGGAUGAGGUGGGUGUGGCUUUUGGCACCACAGGAUGUGCUGGAGAGUGGAUGUUCAGGGCUGGGGAUAGGCCACAAAGCUGCUGGCGUGAGCAGCGCUGUCCUGGCCAAGGGAGCAGCACGGCUCUGUGCCCUUGAUGGGCCCAAGCACAGGCACAUGUUACCAAAGCUCCAGCUGUGAGUUUGGAGACUGCCCUGCCCCAUCUUCUUCCCUCGUGGCCACGACACAGCCGGAGCCUGCGGAUCCACACCACCCACGGCGGGCAGCAGUAUGCUUUGGCUCCUUGCUGGUGCUUAGCCUUGAUGCUCAGCAAAGCAUAUCUCCUGCUCGGAUUUUAUCUCCAUCCACUCAGCUUAUCGGCACAGGGCAGCCCUCCUGCCUGCGCCACGUUCCCGGAGCGUGCCUGCAGCAGGUGUGGCCAGCACUACUGUUUGCCAAACGCCGCUGCCUGCCCGCAGUCCCUGACUCCAGGGCCCGCGCUGAUAGUGCACGCGCAGCGAGGACUUGGGCGAUAGCGUUCCCAAUGACAUUACCUUGUCCCCCGCAUUCUUCCGAUGCCACACACGCCUUCGCUCGGGGUGCGGGCGGCCCGGCCGUGGCGGUGGGUGCAGAUGCUGUGCAGGCAGCACUGGGAAGUGCUGGUGGUCUCCUCCCGGGGGGACUCAUUGACAUAUCAGUCACAUAGUUCUGCAUAAUUGGGACUUGGAUGCAGCCUCUCUUUAUGUUUCCUCUUGGCAGUUGCCAACAACAUGAAGCACUCCUGGGUCAAAAUGACAGCCUUUUGUUUACUAUUCCUGCUUAUGUGCCUCAUUUUCUUCAAGGAUAAGAGCUCUUUAUAGGAAUCUUUAUUGUGAUGAGGUUAGCCUAGAGAAAGAUUUCUCUCCAGCUUUCUCUCUCUCUUUCACAGCUGAUUAGCAGGGUCGGCCCACUAGGACAGUGAUGUGGAACACAGACCCAGCAUUCGCCUCAGGGUCCCCCCAGCCAUGAGUCAUCUUCUCCAGCACAGCCCCAACCUGCUGGCCUCCCAGCACCCAGCCCAUGGCAGUGCUGCCCUCCUACUCAUGUCAGGAUGCAGGGAGGGGAUCCACAACCCAAAUAAAAGUACUGAAAGACCUCAGAAGCUUGGACAGGAGCUUACCCAGAGCAUACACCUUCUCUCCACAGUCUUACCAGCCCAUCCAUGGUGACCCACCCUUCAUCUGACCUCUGCAGCAGUGACCAACCCCAUCAGAAGGGUCUGCACUUGGCAAACUGAGAUAGGAGAGACUUGUGAUGAACCAAUGGAGACCCACCAGUCUGCUGCACUCAGAACUCUGGUUUUCAGGUGUGAACUCCAAACAGACAGUGACUGGGGAAGGGAUGAGGAGAGAUGUGGGAGCAGCUAGUGACAAGAUGGGGAGAGCUCAUGGAAUAGACACGGGCAGGGUGCACAUGAAUGGAGAACCUUCCCCAACUGUGGAAGAGGCCCCACAGGACCAUCCCAGCAGAUCUUUCACCCACUGCUGGACUGACUGCGCCGCUGCAGGGGGGUGACCCAGCUGACCCCACAGCCCUGUCCCAGCCCAUGCCUAUGGAUGACACUCCUGGGAACAGUCACUCCUGUCAAGAGGAAAGCAGCUUACCCUUGAAAGUUACUUUGCGAAGGUCAAGAGUGGGACUGUGACAGAGCAGCCUGACAAACACAUCUCCCUAAGUCCUUGGGCCCGAUAAUGUAUGUCCCAUGCAAUGUUGACACUAGUGAUCCACCAAAGAUCAGGUUAACAAGUUUGACGUUAGUGACAGUGUGAUUUGUUCCGUGCUGGCUCUGAAUUCAUAGAGCCGCUGGCCUUCAGUGAUAAACUAUUGCGCUGUGCACACGAGGCUGUGGCAGUUGUCACCCGCCGGAGCACGGAGAUGAAAAGGAAGCAGAGCUCUAAUCAAAAUACAGUGGUCAGUAGGGGUUGAGCUGAAAAUUAAAAGGUGCUGGUACUUUUCCCA
Molecule: non-coding RNA, 3669 nt
Organism: Cyanistes caeruleus (blue tit)
Lineage: Eukaryota; Metazoa; Chordata; Aves; Passeriformes; Paridae
Source: RefSeq, a predicted model, not a curated record